UCUCCGUAGGUGAACCUGCGGAGGGAUCAUUACAGAGUUCGUGCCCUCGCGGGUAGAUCUCCCGCCCUGUGUUAUUGCUACCUUUGUUGCUUUGGCGGGCCGCCCUCGGCUACCGGCCCCGGCUGGGACGCGCCCGCCAGAGGACCCCAAACCGUGAACGGCAGUGUCGUCUGAGUACUAUACAAUAGUUAAAACUUUCAACAACGGAUCUCUUGGUUCUG
This 221-nucleotide unclassified non-coding RNA is filed under the name plant metagenome. RNAcentral's name for it is "partial contains small subunit ribosomal RNA, internal transcribed spacer 1, and 5.8S ribosomal RNA". The record is from RNAcentral.